This 253-nucleotide ribosomal RNA is filed under the name uncultured bacterium. Its description in RNAcentral is "partial 16S ribosomal RNA". It matches the Rfam family "Bacterial small subunit ribosomal RNA", at positions 524 to 776 of the family's 1533-position model. The record is from RNAcentral.
UACGUAGGUGGCAAGCGUUGUCCGGAAUUACUGGGUGUAAAGGGAGCGCAGGCGGGAAGCCAAGUCAGCUGUGAAAACUACGGGCUUAACUUGUAGACUGCAGUUGAAACUGGCGUUCUUGAGUGGGCGAGAAGUAUGCGGAAUGCGUGGUGUAGCGGUGAAAUGCAUAGAUAUCACGCAGAACUCCGAUUGCGAAGGCAGCAUACCGGCGCCCUACUGACGCUGAGGCACGAAAGCGUGGGUAUCGAACAGG